CACGGGAAAUGGUCGGGAUAGCUCAGUUG
RNAcentral lists this transfer RNA (29 nucleotides) under Sclerosperma mannii. RNAcentral's name for it is "partial transfer RNA-Phe". The record is from RNAcentral. Lineage: Eukaryota; Viridiplantae; Streptophyta; Magnoliopsida; Arecales; Arecaceae.